ACAGUAAGCUGAAUGUCAUAUUUACCGGACAGAUAGAAAAAUUUCUCAACCAGCCCAAGAAAAUCUAGAACUAUCUCAAACUUCUUUCCAGAGUUCGCAACCAAAAAGAUAUGCUCAACACCAGUCUCAUGUCUCAACUUAAGAAUUGCCUGGUGUGGCUCAAAAGCAUGGCCAAGAAGAGUGGUCAAUUGAAAAGCCAGGUGCAGCUUCUGGAGGUGGUUUGCGGACAAUGAGACAAGAUUUUCUCCAGCUAAAUCUAGCUUAUUUUUGGUUUCUACAAUCCCCAAGUCACUA
Molecule: unclassified non-coding RNA, 294 nt
Filed under: Hevea brasiliensis (rubber tree)
Lineage: Eukaryota; Viridiplantae; Streptophyta; Magnoliopsida; Malpighiales; Euphorbiaceae
Source: RNAcentral